UAGGCAGGUACAGAGGGCAGCUACCCAGCAAUGGGAUGCGAAUCUCGAAAGCCUGUCUCAGUUCGGAUUGGAGGCUGAAACCCGCCUCCAUGAAGUUGGAUUCGCUAGUAAUCGCGCAUCAGCCAUGGCGCGGUGAAUACGUUCCCGGGCCUUGUACACACCGCCCGUCAAGCCAUGGGAGCCGGGGGUACCUGAAGUGCGUAACCGCGAGGAUCGCCCUAGGGUAAAACUGGUGACUGGGGCUAAGUCGUAACAAGGUAAC
RNAcentral lists this ribosomal RNA (262 nucleotides) under uncultured bacterium. RNAcentral's name for it is "partial 16S ribosomal RNA". It matches the Rfam family "Bacterial small subunit ribosomal RNA", at positions 1229 to 1500 of the family's 1533-position model. The record is from RNAcentral.